Molecule: long non-coding RNA, 1216 nt
Organism: Aegilops tauschii subsp. strangulata
Lineage: Eukaryota; Viridiplantae; Streptophyta; Magnoliopsida; Poales; Poaceae
Source: RefSeq, a predicted model, not a curated record
AGGCUAAAAAUGGUGGAGGCAUUACAGGGGUAAAAAACAAUCGGAAGCUCAAAUCAGGAAGGAAAAAGAUAAAUUUAAACAUAGAUGCAUUGGAGGCCAUCCCACCUAGAGAGAGAACAACAUUAGAACAAGUUGCUGGACAUCUAAACUUGUGAACUACCACUGUUUGGAGGAGGUUGAAGAUGAAGGAAAUUCGACGAAUAACAAGUGAAUUGAAGCCCGCCUUGACUGAUGCAAACCAAAGGGCUCGUCUGGAGUAUGCUCUUAUGCAUCUUGAACCAUGUAGCAUAACAUCCCUAGGUGGUAUUAAUCCCACAUUUAGGGCUGAUAUGGAUGUGGUUCAUAUAGAUGAGAAAUGGUUUUAUCGCACGCGGAAGACCCAGAACAUGUAUUUGAGUCAUAGAGAGGAGGCACCACACCGGGAAUGUAAAAAUAAAAGCCACAUUCCGAAAAUUAUGUUCUUGUCCGCAAUGGCUAGACCAAGGUAUGAUGCUCAAGGCAAUUGUGUGUUUGAUGGCAAGAUAGGGGUUUGGGCUUACACAGAGUGGGUGCAAGCUAAAAAGAGAAGUCAGAAUAGGUUGAGGGGGUCAUGGGAGUUGAAGCCUGCAGAUACAGUGGACAGGGAGAAAAGUCGGGAGUACUUAGUGAAAUACGUACUGCCGGCUAUAAAGGAGAAGUGGCCUGAGAGCGAUAGAUGGAAUACCAUCUACGUACAGCAGGACAAUGCUAAGACUCAUAUAAAACCAGAUGAUCCACUUUUUUUGCAGGAAGCUGCUAGGGGUGGUUGGGAUAUUAGGAUGAUAUACCAACCACCUAAUUCUCCUGACACAAACAUAUUAGAUCUUGGUUGGUUUGCCUCAAUUCAAGCAAUGUUCCAUAGAAAGAUGCCCAAGACCCUACUCGAGAUUGUCCAAAAGGUUAAUCAAUCCCUAGCUGAGUACCCCCAUCAAAGGCUCAAUAGGAUCUGGUUGAGUCAUCAAGCGUGCAUGAGAGAGAUCAUCAAGCACAAGGGGUCUAUCCACUAUGCUGUUCCUCACUUGAAGAAAAAAGCACUAGAGAGACAAGGUCUUCUCCAGGUUCGUUUGACGAUUGACAGAGAAUAUGUCGAGCAGGCAAUUCAGUACUUGAACUCAACAUGAGUUGUAACAUUAGCAUUGACAGAGAAUACUGUCUUUGAAAGUUUGUUUACAAUGCAAUAUUGGGACUGUCUUUUGCA